UUUACCUCUCUGAUGUGCUACCAAUUAACAUCUCUACCUAUAAGCGACGCGGACAUUAAAGUUUAAACAGAGACGCCAUAAUUAGAGACACAGAAAAACAGUACCAUGUAUUUGCUUUAUUCUUACGAAGUUAUGUAUCAGCCUAUCAAGAGAGAGUUGAUUUGGAUGAGGAUGAAUCCGACUCGAGCUUUACCAGAUUUUUUCGGUGGCUUUAAUUUUUUUUUUCCUCAUUUAACGUUCUAAGUAAUCUGAAAAAAAUUAAAUGCUCUUUGCUACUUCAUUAAAAGAAAAUGUCGAUACGAUAGUUAAAUAGGAAAAAAGGAUUUUAAUAACUAUUACAAUGUUUUACUGUAUUUGUAAUUUUUUAACUUAUUUUUAAAUAUAUUAACAUGAAGAAGAUUUUUUUUUUGUCAACCUUAAUUUAAU
Molecule: long non-coding RNA, 426 nt
Filed under: Durio zibethinus
Lineage: Eukaryota; Viridiplantae; Streptophyta; Magnoliopsida; Malvales; Malvaceae
Description: long non-coding RNA (DZIB_LNC001768)
Source: RNAcentral